AUAUUUUUCAAAACUGCUGGUCCUGCAAACUCAGCCUGAGUUUUAAAAAAUGAAAGUUCUGUGCUCCUGUGCCCAGAGCAUCAUACAUAGUCAGGAAAAACUAGUGGAAGUGGAAAGAAGUGGAAUUUUGGCUCUAUCUCAUGCUUCUAGAACUGAAAACAUGUCUUUUGGUUUUUAUUUUUUACUCAGAGUCAUACUUUUUCUUCUGUACCAAAUUCUAGCAAUUUGAUUAUUUGGAAAAUACAACCAAGGUUUGGUGCUCGAAACACGUUGAGUCCUGGCUACAGUUGUGGAAUGAAUCUCAAGAAUGACAGGAAGCAAGCUUUUUCCUCACUCUUUUUUCCAGAGUACUAUAGUACGUCUGGUUUCAUGCAAAGUCUCUGAAGCCCAUGGGAAUGUCACUGAUGUGGUGCAGUGUGAAACCGGCACUUGCAUUGUAUCUGUAACUCUGUACAAUGAACAGAUUUGGGGUUUAUAUCCAGUAUUGUAUUUCUACCAAUUGACAAAUCCAGUCUAUUAAUUUUCAUCCAUUCAAUACAUAGCCAAAGGCUUUCUUGGAACUGAUGGUGAAUUUAUUAAGACUAGUAGCUGGCCUUUGUGUUUGCAUCUGUAUUCUCAUUCCUAAAAAUAUUGGUUUUGUCUGUCGAUUGCAGGAGGGAUUGACUUUGAGGUUUGGGAACUGAGAAAACCUGCUGUACAGGAAAGAAUGAUAUUCCUAUCACUGCCUUCGGGGAUAAUUUGAGGUACAAGCUGUCUGGUUUCUGUUGGAGAGCAGCAAUGAGAUCUAUCGUAUUUAUUUUUCCUCACUGCAUCCUUCAGAUAUCCUAGUAAAACCCUUCUCUGUUUAGACAUCUGGCUUCAUCUCAUUAACUUGAUGAGCCUCGAUGCUCCAUUCAUCCAUUUCUCCCAUAAACAGCUCUGUGUAUCAUUUUCCUGCUGCCUCCUUUUCUCAGGAUGCAUGCUUAUUGUCCUGGUUUUUGGCUGGGAUAGAGUUAAUUUUCACAAGAAGCUGGGAGGGGACACAGCCAGGACAUAUUCAAUACCAUGAUGACAUGCUCAGUAUAUAAGGGGGGAGCUGGCUGGGCAAGAGGAGUUGCUGCUUGGGAACAGGCUGGGCAUCAGGUUCCACGCAGUGAGCAAAUUGCAUUGUGGAUCACCUGCUUUGUAUAUUCUAAGUACUGUUGUUGUUAUUUUCCUCUUCCUUUGCUGUCCUAGUGAACUGUCCUUAUCCCAACCCAUGAGGUCGGUACUACAUAUAGGGCUACAGCUUGAUCUCACUAAAUAUCAUCUUUUUCUUCCAAUUCUCCUCUCCAUCCCACCGGGGGGGAGUGAGCGAGUGGCUGUGUGGUGCUUAGCUGCUGGCUGGGACUAAACCACAACACUUACCUACAAAUUUCUACUCCUUCCUAGCUUAAAUCUCACCUAAAAAUUCAUUUAAGACUGCCCAUGGUAAGCAAAGUAAUAACAAUCUUUGUGUUAGCUCCUCAGCUAGCAGAUUUAAUAAUGGGCUUACAUUUUUUGGAGCCUUGAGUCAGAUUUGACUCUGGAAAGGUAAAACUGCUGUGCUGAGAUGCUCUCUCUUACAGGUAGGCAACAUCAAGGGCUGUCAUAAAAGAACUGUUAAUUUCCCAGGGAUUUUAGAUCACUUGUGUCUUUGGUCUGAUGGAUUUGAAAUCUCUGGCAAUUAGAAUAAAUUCCUUUACUUCCCAAAAUUAAAGCUGAAUUUUCCCAUGCCCCAUUCAAUAAGGGCAAGGUUUUACUCUGAAGAUUGCAGGAAUCUCUCUCUCACACACACAUAAGGAGACAGGUCUCUUCCUCUUAUAAAACUUGAUAAAAAGGACCAUUAUUAUCCUUGCAGUCUUCAAUGCAUUCUGCACUUUCUUAGUUGGCUCAACUUCCAUUUCUCUAAUCCUUUAAAAUUCUUCAAGGACAGGCUGGGGAAGAAUGGAUAAGCAUCUAUUAUUGUUGUGGUACUUUAUUGUUCUGCAUGAAAUGAAGCCUUGCUACCUCCAAAGUCCUAUUUCCUUUCCUUUCCAGGGCAGUGGCUCAAAAUAUUUUAAGAGGUACAUUUUUCUGUUUAACUAUAUCUGUGCUGUGCCGGUAGCAUGCAGUGCAGUGAGAUGAAAGGUUUGUUGCAUACCACACUUAGAACAGGAUGUCAGCUCUGCACCGGUCCUCAGUAGCAUCUGUAGGAAUGCCACCACAGUGACAAUAACAGAUGACAGGAUAGAGCUGGGAGGUAGCAGCGGGGUUCAGUAGUCUUCUCUGCCUUCAGUUUCCUUCUUUUUUUUUGUUUUGGGCUAGAUCCCAAACAGAUGAGGUCCAAACAGGAUGGAAAUGUUGCUGCAUGGGAGGGUCAGGAAUGGGAGAGAGGGAAUGGGGGAGACACUAGAAGACAGUGUGGGGGUGCACACACCUGGGCUGUCCCAAGCUGAGAAGCUCCAGGUGAUGGUGACUGAGCUGAGGCUGCCUAGGUGGAGUACAGGCACAGGCAGAGAUAUACCAUCUCCCCAUCCUCCUGUGGCCUGUCACAGCUCUGAGGCUUCAGUGGCUUUGCCCCCAGUGACAGAGGACAGGGAGCUCUGUACUGGAGAGUUUGGUGAGCUCCUGGGUGUCUUUUGGGCUGGGCCUGAGAAACCUGUUCAGCACCCACUCAGCAAGUACUGUCUGCUGGUCCCUCCCUCAGUGCUGUCUCUGCAGCACUCCUGUUAAGACCCUGAGUGGGGCGAUGUGGCACAGGGGAUUUUGGAGCACCAGCAGGUCUUGCUUCCUGACUAGGGCUGAUGGAGCAUUGGAGGCUCAGGACCUGAGCUAGCAGCUCUGCCCAAGGACCUGAAAUCUAAUUCCACACAAGUCCUUGGAAAGUGUUGAUCCAAGACUAGCUCUACUGUUAGGAGCGGACUGGUAGUUGAAUGUAGUAACAAGUGACUCAUCGUGUCCUGGACUCCCGUUGCCUACUGCUUUGACCCUUCUACACUGUCACUGACUUUGGAGAAGUUACUCAGAGUAUGAAGUCCUGUAACUUUUCAUAGGAAUAUCUGUUACUCUAGAGAUGAGCAUUUGUCCUUUUAUUCACCUCAGGAUAGAUGCUAGACAUAAAGGCUGGUACUCUGAGGUCUGUCUGUGGUGUCCACAAGACAUGCUGUGUUAAUGGAGCCCUUUGUGCCAAGUCAAACCUGGAAGUCUCCUCCUUUUUGAUUUUUACCAAUGUUAAGUAAUGCCCAAGGGGGAUUCAAAUCACAUCAAACAAAGCUCUGGGCUGAAUUCUUUCAAUGGUCCAUCACUGCUAACUGAUAAAUCUAUUACAUAAGCAGGAAAGCCAUGUGGGACAGAGGAUGUUCAACAGAAGUUGUAUAGAUAAUCCAUAAACGCUGUCCUGCUGGGAAACAGAACAGAAAACACUGCUGCUUUGGCAAUGAAAGAUCUGAGGAUAACACACCAAAUUCUCAACAAACCUACACCUCCUGUUGCAUCAGAAGGAGCCCCGGUGUUUUCCAGCCCUCCAGGAGGGAGCUGGCACAGCCCCAAGCUGGGGUGCUGUAUAGAAGAAUUCAGGAGUCACUGGGCCCAAGAAAAAGAGCUGAGUGCCUGAAGGAGACCCCAAACCAAGGGACAUUACCAACAUGCUGAAACUUCUUGACUAUGGUGAAGAUGUCCCUGUGCCUCCACGAUAUCCAGCGCUCUGGGAAUCUCUUUCUUUCAGCUUCUGAAAGGAGCUGGGUGCCAAAUCAGCAAAGAAAUACCCAUAGCUCCUGACCAAUGAGCACAUCUAACAGACCUGAUGAAGGCCAGGAGAAAGAGACAUCCAUGGGGAAGCUGAACAAAUGAAGAGUGAUGUUCAUCCAAGAGAAACCUCUAACACUGUAACACUGUCUUUUUAUAAAAGAGCUAUGGGACUAGAGCUCUUGAUUCACAUAGUGAGACUUGUAUGACAAUAACUAGACAAGGAAACAAGCAAACAAAACAUUUUAAGAAAAAGCAGUGUUUGCUUUCAUCUCACCGCAGUGCUAGCCUUGCUAUUAGUUGUGACGUUCUCCUGUUUUCAGACCAAUGAAUAUGUUAAACUGUUUCGUAUAUAAUUUCUGGCACCAUGUCAGCUUCUAAGAUCACUUGAAAGGGAGAUCAGUGGGAAGAAUGCCACAGCAGAGCUUGGAAAAUCACAUUGCAAGUCUCUUGUUUUUCCUCUCCUCCGGCCUUUGCGCACUCCUGCAAGAAUCCUGGCUGGCAAAGGAGACACAGGGCUGUUAAACUUGAGGCAAUGUCAGCCACGCUCUUUAUGAGUGAGUUGUGCUUUGUGGCGUGAGGUGCUCACCUCAGUGCUGCAGUUGCACACAUCCUUGUUUGGACCUGCUGAGUCCCUGGCAGCAUCUCUGUUGUCCUAUGGCUGUUUGUUUUCCUUUGAUAUUUAUGCUCUCAGGUGCUCUAUUUGUGUUGCAACUUGGGGUUUGGUUUUUUUCCCUUCUUCCCUGUAGCUCUGUUAGCAAAAGAAAUCUACCAGCACUUCAUUCAUCACUUUUUUUUUCUUCUUCCGUGGCAAAUAUAUAUAAAUAAAUAAAUCUUUGUCAAGGGAACUCUAAUGGUAUGUUCCUGUGUGGAUAAUUACUACUUCCCUGUCAGCAAAAGGUUAUAAAAUUUUUUCUUUUGGGAAAAUGCAGUAGAGACUUUUUUCCUGGCAGGCAAAUAUUGUACAGAUGUUCUGCUCUGGAUAAUACAGCUGAAAUGCUCCUUGUAGGAUAACCUGACAUAAAUGCUUCUGUAAGGCAGAUUUCUGUGUCACUGAAAGACUGUUGACUGUUUUCCUAGGAGGAAAAAAAGCCUUCUAUGGUUUCCUCCUACUGGGAAAACAUUCUUCAGGCACCUGGUUCUGUCCGGAAAAUACAAAUAAAAAUGCUAU
Molecule: long non-coding RNA, 4894 nt
Organism: Grus americana (Whooping crane)
Lineage: Eukaryota; Metazoa; Chordata; Aves; Gruiformes; Gruidae
Exons: 4
Source: RefSeq, a predicted model, not a curated record